GUUUGCCACCACAAGACGACUUGUGGCAGGGUGUUGUACUGUGAGAGACAAAACUUUCAUCCGUCUGUUGAACAGAGGAAGAGGACGCCCUUUUUGGCUAAGUUUCAUUUCCCCGGAAGAGUCCUCCCACAGCCGGUGGUCUCCAGUACAUAUAAAGUCCACCACGCAGGCUGGAAGUGUACUGGACGUAGGAGACAACAUGGAUUCCAAGAACUCCAAGAAUUGUAAUCUGGGAAAAGCUGGGUUCACCCCAGCCGGGGUACAAAAAGGAUCCCUUGCCGCAGGCAUGAUGUCCUUAGAAGCCAAAACCAACAGAGGAGGGCCGACACCAAAGGGCCCGGUGUCUAACCUUCAGUCUGCAGGUGCGGCCGGUCAUUGUGGAAAGACCAAGAAAUGAGCGAAAGAUAAAACCAUGAAAUAAAAAUUGGUCCAUUAAA
Long non-coding RNA from Entelurus aequoreus (snake pipefish), 437 nucleotides. RefSeq lists it as uncharacterized. The record is from RefSeq and is a predicted model, not a curated record. The transcript is spliced from 4 exons. NCBI's taxonomy places the organism in Eukaryota, Metazoa, Chordata, Actinopteri, Syngnathiformes, Syngnathidae.